CAGGGGAGCUGAGUGAAUUCUCCCAAUAUCUUUUGUUCAUUUUGCCCAAAGGGUUUUAGGGACUUCCUCCAAAAGGGCUGGGUUCUUGGAGUUAUCCUCUGUUUUAUGAUGAAAAACUGUUAGAGAUACUGAAGAUUUCUUAAUGUUAUCUGAAGCAGUGAGGGUUGAGUCGAUUUCAAGAAGUAUUUCCCCCUUUUGAGAAAAAGAGAUGGCAGCAUGAUAUUUUUCUAAAAUGUCUUGUCCCAGUAAGUUGGCAGUAGCAGAAUUGACCAAUAGGAAAGAAUGACUGUCCUAGAGAGGGCCCAAUUGGAAAGGGAAGGGAAGGGAUUUAUAAGCUGUAGGGGGUUUAUUAGAUACUGCCACAAUUUGAAUUUUCUCAGUACUCUAAGGAAGGGGUUGUUUGAGGUUGGCAGGGUUGAACAUGGAAAGUGUGGCUUCAGCAUUGAUUAAGAUAGUAAGGACCUCAUUUCUGAUUAUUACGGAAGUUUCACCCAGGUGAUUAAUGAGGAGGAUCAGAAAAACUCCUUGUUUUUUCCCAGAGCAGCUUCAGUCCAUAGGAGGAGCUGAGGCUUAACAUCGGAGGAUUGUUUAGAGUGUUUUAGUUUAAGACAAUUGUUUUGCCAAUGGCUAGACUUUUUGCAAAAAUAGCAAACAUUUUUAGAGUUUAAAGGGUUUUACUUAGUUUGGUGAGGCUGAAAGGAGGCUGAUAGUUCUUGAAGCCGUAAAUUCUUGAUUUUAGUAGCCUUUUGUUUAUUUGAUUUUUGGAUAGUCUGGGCUAAUUGAUUUGCUGAAUUAACCAAAUCAGGAGUUGUUAUAAUUUCCCAAUUAAGUUGUGCUCACUUUACUAGAAGUGCAAGAUCUUCAUCUAAGACAUUUCUGAACACGGAAUUCAAGGGCACCUUAGUGGACUCUGUAUCUGAAGGGAGUCCAGAAUUUUCCUUAAAAAUAACUUCAAGCCUGUUGUAAUAGUCAUGCACAGGUUUGUCAGUCCUUUGUGUGCAUGCUUGAAUUCUAUUCCAAUCAACAGGUUUUGGUAAGGCCAAGGGAUGGCCUCAUAUAAGGUUUUUGCUUUUUGUUGGGCUGUAGGUCUAUCAUCUGGCAUGGUUAUGAAAAGUCCUGUAAAGGAUGAUUCCACCCGAGGUUAGCCGUGUAAUUUUGGGCCUGACCACCUCCCACGAGCAGGGGAAUUAAUUGAUAAAGACUGGAAAAUCCAGGCUCUCAUAGGUUUAAAUAACAAUGUUAAAAUCUUCUCCAAACUGGUGAGGGUCCUCAGUAACCUUGGGAAAUAUUUUACCUAUAGCCCUCAAUUCUGCUUUUGUCCAAGGCAUGUAAGCUAUAUUUAGGUGGAUGUUCUCUUAGUUUAAAAGGAUGAAUUUGAACUGGUUUAGUAAGUGAAGUUGGGGCUGGAGGAUUGAGGCAAGCCUCAGGGUCUAGGAGAUAAAAACAGAGUUUAGCAAGGGAAGAAUAAAGGGAAAAGGGAGGUGGAGGGUGGAGGACAGGUUUGAGAAGCCAGAAGGGGAGGAGAUUGAGCAGAGGGGUAACAGGAAAAACGAGUCUUUUGUAAUAGAGAAAUCUUUUCAGUAAAUUUAGGAUUUGUGUCUGGGAGGGGAGCAAUUUUAAGAGUCCUGGACUCUUUUACAAGCUUCUAAAUACCAAUUAAAGUAAAUAUCCCAUUCAGCUUGUUUUGUUCUAUGUCUUUCAAGUUUAUUGCACAGACAAAUACGUUUAGAAACUUUGAAAGAGCCACAUUGUGGUCACUGUAAUUUUAAAUCAUCUUUGGUGUUAUUGGUCCACCGAGAUGGACAUUUACGAGAGGAAGGACCAUAGUUCUUACACAUGAUACCAGCUGGAGUUCCCCGAGGGAGGAAUUUCUUGGGAAACUUUAGAAAAUGAAGUGUCCCAUGGUGAAGAAAAGCAUGCAAAUGAGAAUGAUAAUAGCAAAAUCCGUCUAUUUAUUUAGUGUACUUACCAAUCAAGGAAAAAGAAUCUUGCUGAGGGAAACUCUUCCUGCAGCAAUGACCAUAAGCCAAAAAAGCCACACCAGCACUGAGACAGUUAUCUCCUGGCCAGUUCCCCCUGAUCCUCCCACCCCUUCCCCACAAAAGGCACUGGUCUUGACCAAAUGGAGGGAGUUCAGCACCUGAGAAGACUCACAAUUGGAAGAAUCAGUGAUCUGUGGAAAUGGUGAGCCCAAGGGGCUUGUGUAGGCACUGUACCCCAUUCUAGGGGAUGCCAAUCCACAAAGGUGAGAUCACUUCAGCUCCUGCUUUCUGACACCAUGUAUGUUAACGUAAAAAUAAAGAGCCAAAAUGAGAGGCAUUUAUUUUGGGAUCACGAAAUUGCAAUUUGGAAUAGCGUCCUGUUAGGUAGUAAGAGGUAGGGGCUUUUGAAGACAAAAGAGGAAGGUUUGCAUUACAAAGAAUGUUAAUUUGGAUUGGCUGUAGAAAGCUCAUCUUGGCUAAACAUAAUUGUGAGACUAUGGCCAAAGUGAGGUAAAAGUUUGUCACAGUGACCAGUUGCAGGUCUCCUGUGGUGGUCUCAGAUUAUUUGUGUCUUAACUCAGUUCAAAAGUUCAUAUUCUGACUGAUGAGGAUGUUUAUAAGACCAAUUUCCUUAUGGCUUCCCAGCACUAUUUUAAAGCCCUUAGAAAUAAGUGACACCGUUUUGUUUUACAUUUCACAUUUCCUUAUUGAUUUCCUGUCUGGAUUAUCUAUCCAUUGUUGAAAGUGGGGUAUUGAAGUCCCCUGCUCUUCUUGUAUUGCUGUGUAUUUAUUCCUUCAGAUCUGUUAAUAUUUACUCUUUAUAUUGAGGUGCUACUGUGUCAGGGGUGUAAGUAUUUACAGUUGUCAUAUCCUCUUGAUGAAUUGACCCCUUUAUCCUUAUAUAAUGGCUUCUUUGUCUCUUUCAAUCUUUGGCUUAAUCUAUUUUGUCUGAUAUAAGUAUAGCUCCCCCUGCUUUAUUCUGGUUUCCAUUUGCAUGGAAUAUCUUAUUCCACUCCUCCUUUUUCAUUCUAUGUGUGUCCUUAAAGCUUAGUUGUCUCUUCUAGGCAUUAUAUAGUUAAGUCUUUUUUUUUUUUUUUUUCAUACACUCAGCCACUCAGUCUUUUACUAAAGAAUUUAGUCAGUUUACAUUUAAAGUAAUUAUAGACAGAUUUGGACUGCUAUUGUCAUUUUGUUAAUUGUUGUUGUUUUGUAAUUCUUUUGCUCCUUUCUUCCUCUUUUCCUCAACUGCUUUUUGAUCUGAGGAUUUUCUGUAGUAGUAUGCUUUGAUUUCUUUAUCUUUUGUGCAUCCAGUAUAGGCUUUUGCUUUGUGGUUACCAUGAGGCUUACAUAAGAUAUCUUUUAUGUAUAUAAGUCUGUAUUAAGUUUGUAAUAUCUUUGAAUGUGUAUCAAUGCUCCCCCAAUCCCACAUAUGUUUUUGAUGUCACAAUUUUCUUCUUUUUACAUUGUGUAUCCAUUAAUGAAUUAUUGUACUUAUAGUUAUUUUUAAUACUUUUGUCUUUGAACAUUCAUCUACAGUUAUAAGUGAUUUACACAUCACCAUUACAUUAGAGUAUUCUGAGUUUAACUGUAUAUUUACCUUUACCAGUAAGUUUGAUAUUUUUAUAUGUUUUCCUCCUAUUUAUUAACAUCCUUUGGUUUCUGCUUGAAGAACAUUUUUUGUAAGACUGGUCUAGUAGUAAAUGAACUCUUUCAGCUUUUGUUUGUCUGGAAAACUUUAUUUCUCUUUUAGUUCUGAGGAACCACUUUGCCGGGGAGAAUAUUCUUGGUUGGCAGUUUUUUCUUUCAGUGUUUUGAAUAUAUUGCCCUGCUCCUUUCUGGCCUGCAAGAUUUCUGCUGAAAAUUUUGCUAAAAGUCUAAUGAGGGUUCCCUUGUAUUCAAUAAGUUGCUUUCUCUUGCUGCUUUUACAAUUUUCUCUUAAACUUUUGACAAUGUAAUUAUAAUGUAUUUUGGUGUGGGUCUCUUUGUCUUCCUUUUUUUGUUAUUCUCUGGGAUUCUUGGAUCUGGAUGUCUGUUUCUUUCCCCAUAUUAGGGUAGUUUUCAUGUCAUUAUUUCUUUGAAUAUGCUUUCUUCUCCUUCUCUCUCUUCUCCUUCUAGGACCUCUAUAAUAUGUAUAUUUGUUCUUUUGAUUGUGUCCCUAAGUCCCUUCAGCUAUCUCCACUUUUUCAUUCUUUUUUUCUUUUGGCUUAUCUGACUGGAUGGAUUCUAUUGCUCUGUCUUCAGUUUCACCAAUCCUUUCUUUUACUUGAUCUAGUCUACUAUUGAACGUGCCUAUUGGAUUUUUCAGUUCACUUAUUGUGUUAUUUAGCUUUCUGGUUUCUGUUUGGUGCUUUUAAUUUUCUUUUUUUCUUUGUUGAAAUUCUCACUUUGUUCAUACAUUGCUUUCCUGAUCUCAGGGAGCAUUUUUUUGACCAUUGUUUUGAACUCUCUAUCAGGUAUAUCACUUGUCUUGAUUUUAUUAAGAUCUGAUUCUGAAUGUUUAUCUUGUUUUUUGUUUGAAACAUAUUCCUUUGUCUCUUCAUUUUCCUUGAUUCUGUCUUGUUUCUGUGCAUAAGAUAAAAUAUCCACUUUUCUCAGUCAUGAAAUAAUGGUCUUGUGUAGGAAAUGAAUCUUUUUGAUCAGCCCAGCCCAACCUUCUAGUUGUCUCUCAAACCUUUGUGAUUGUCCAAGCCUUCUUUUUUGUUCUUAGAGGGUCACAGUAUUUGUGGAUGUGCCAAGACCCAAGAGUGUCCCAAAGGGGAGGUUCGCAGUCUGUGCCUAGUUGCAUGCUGAUUAGAAGGUUGCCCCUCAGGCAGCAAUUGGGAAACUAUGUAGUUAAGGUCCUUCUAGCGGGAAGCUGGAAGAUGGACAUUUUUGCCUGCUCCCUCUGUUGUGGGCCUGGGUAGAUAGCCAUAGGGUGGAGUGCUGUUGCACCUGUUAAGAGCUAUUUCUUUGUUUGCUACAGUCCUGUGGGACUUGUGAUUGCAAGCUCCUUUGUCUGUUAGAGCCAGGUGAUCUUGGGGCUUGUCCCUCAGGUGGCUUCCACAAAAUCUGGGGUACCAGAUGUGUGUAGAAGCUCCUUCCAGAGAAAUAUUGGUAACUUGGUUUUAUUAUUGGAGUGGGCUCAAGGGAAAAGGUGUGAGAGGUAUCUGCUUCCCUCUCUGGUUUCUGGGGAAGAUUGCGGCCAGCCCCUAGUUGGCCUGAUAAAUUAGAAGUCUGGCCCUCAGGCGACAGCUUUUAUAGUUUGCAGACAGACUUCUUUCAGGGGAAAAUUAGACUAUGGGCAAUUUUGCUUAUUCCUUCUGCACUGAACCUAGAGGGGAUAGUUGGUUGGGAAUAUGCUUCUUUAUUUGCUACAGUCCUGUGGGACUUGUGAAUGGAAGCCCCUUUAUCUAUCAGAGCCAGAUGGUCUGGAGACCUGGUCCUCAGUGGCAGCUACAAAUGCUGGGGUGCAAGUGAGUGUAUAAGCUCCUUCCAGGGAGAUACUUGGAACUUAGAGCAGGCUGGAGUGAGAAGGUGUGAGUAGUGUCCACUUCCUCAGUCUCUGGGGAGGAUCACAGCCAGAGCCAGUGCCUGCUAAAUUAGAAGACUGGCCUUUAGGCAGCAGCUUUUAAAGUAUGCAGAUAAAUCUCUUUCAUGGAAAGACUGUGAGAUGUGUUGUGUUGCCUGUUUCCUCUGUACUGAUCCCUGGGGUGAUAUCCUUGGUGAGUGCACAGUGGUUAAGAAUUGCUUCCUUGUUUGUUAGUCUUAUGAGUCUUGUGGACACAAGCUCCAUUGGCAUUUAGAGGUAGGGGUUUUGUGAGCUGGUCAUUCUGGUGAUAGUCUUAAAUGCUGGUGUGUUAGAUGUGGAAUCCAAGCCAUUAACUCUUCUGGGAGAAGCUAGAAGUUGAAGAUUCCCUCCCAGUUGUACCAUGCUGUGCUGGGGGUGGAUUUUACGGCACAGUGUCUCAGCCUUUCUUACCUGUUUCAAUGUGGAUAUUUUCUGAUUUGUCCUAUGUGUAGGAGUUGCUCAGCUAGUUUCUGGAUCUCUUUCAGAGGAAAUUGCUCUGUGUGUAGCUGUACAUUUGGUAUGUCUGUAAGAGGCAGGGAGCUCAGGAGCCUUCUAUGCACCAUCUUGGUCAACUCCCAAUUCCUAAACUUUGAAUCUUGCUUCUCAGUAAAAAUUUUUACCUUCUCCCUAACAUUGUUUUCCAAAUUUGAAGUAUAUUCUUCAAUAAUAUUUUAAUCUUCUGAGUUUUCUUACCCUUGAGUUAGAUGCCUCACUUAAAUGACAAUAAAAAUAUUUAUUUCUGCCAAAGCUCUUCCUGAGAUUGGAACCAUUAUUCUAGGGUUGCAUUUCAAUCCUGUGCUGACUUAUUAUUUUAAGUAAGGAUUACUUUAAAACAGAACUAAGUUAAGAACAUAUAAUUGUGGAAAAUCAGAGAAAUUUGCAUUAACUACACGAAUUUUAUUAGCUAUACAAAUUUCAUUAGCUAUGCAAAUAUAUACGUCUUUCACUGUUUCCUUUUUUUUCUUUAAAGAUAUUUUAUUCUGUGGAUCUGAUUUUCAUUAUGGCCAGUAAACAUAUUCUAUAUCAUUUGAAAGAUUUUAAAGCUUUUGUGAGUUGGUUUUUGGCCUAGUAUAUAGUUUGUCUUAGUGAAUGUACUGUAGGCGCUUAAAAAAAAGUAUGUUCAUUCUAAAGUUGUUGGUUAUAGUGUUUUAUAAAUGUCCAUUCAGUUGAGAGGGUUGAUAGUGUUGCUCAUGUCUUCUAUGAGUGAUAUUAUUGUGUCUUGUUCUAGAAAUUACUGAAAGAGUAGAGUUAAAAUCACCAACUGCCACUGUGGAUUUGUCUGUUACUCCCUUUAUUUAUGUCACUUUCAUUCCAUGUAAUUUGAAACUCUGUUAUUAGUCAGAUAAACGUUCAUAAUUGUUACGUUUUUCUUGUAAAUUGACCUUCUUAUAUUGUGAAAUAUCUCUAUCUCUGGUAAUACACUGUCUUGAAUUUUAUUUUAUCUAAAAUUAGUAUAGCCACCCCAGCCUUCUUAGGCUGUAUCUUUUCACCUUUUUUUCUUUCACCCUCUAUCUUUAUGUAUAGUUUUGUCAUUUUAGACAGCAGUAUAGUUGAGAUAUGUUUUAACUUUUAACAGCUGGAGUUUUUAUUUACGUAUAAUUAUUGAAAAUGUGGAUUUUCUACCAUUUUUAUUGUUUAUUUGUAAAUGUGUACUCACCUCCAGUGUCUAUGUUUUGUUUUUUGUUCUUGUCUCUCUUCUUUCUUGCCUUCUUUUGAUUGUUUGAAUACUUUUUAGAAUUCCAUUUUCCUUUAUCUUUUUAAGUCUAUCUCCUUGCAUUUUUUAUUGAUUACAAUAUAUAUAUUUAGUUUUUUCAGUCUUUUAAAAGUAAAUAUUAUAUUACUUCACAUAAACAUAAGAAUCUUAAACCCACAUAUACUCAUUUUCCUAGUCCCUGCCCUCUUUAUGCUAGAGUUGUCAUAUAUAUUAUAUUUCCAUUACUAUCAACUCUACAGCCAAUCAUAUAUUUGUUUUAAAUAAGUGUAUUUAUUGUAAAGAAUUUGAGGGAAAAAUAAUAUUUCAUAUUUACUUAAAUAUUAGUCAGUUUCCAUGCACUUCAUUCUAUCCUGAAGGUCCACGUUUCUUUCUGUUAUCAUUCUCUUUCUUCCCACAGAAAUUGCUUUAGCACUAUGACGACUGGCCCUAAUUUUUUUAUAGUUUUCUUUUAUCUGAUACUGUCUGUUUUAGUCUUCUUUAUUAAGGGAUAUUGUUACUGAAUAUAGAAUUAUGGCUUGAAUUUUUUUCUAGUACAUUAAAGACAAUAUUACAUAGUUUUCUGGCCUUCAUUGAAUAUAGCGAUUUCUCUCAGCUUUUUUGGUGGUAUCCAGCCUCCUUGGGCAAUGACUUAAGUCUAUUUUGACUUCAUCUGAGGAGUUAUAAUUGUUUCAACAUCUCAGAAUAGGAUUUAUAUAUUCCAACGCUAUUAUUUAACCUAGUUUGUAAAACGUGAAAGAGUCAAUAAUAUACAUAACCAGUGGAUACAAUCUUUAAUCCAAUCGAACUGUGUUUUCAAAGUUUCUUCUUGUUUGUCCACAUUAUGUGCAUCAGAGGGUUUAGAAAUAAAAAGAGAGUCUAAAAAUUGUUAACUUACUUAAAUUGUCCUAUUUUUUAAUUUUGCAGUCAACUAAAAAUAUAUAUGUGUGUUUACUUGAAACUUUUAUGGCCAAUUUAUUGUUAAUAUUCUAUGAAAACGUCACUCAAAAUCAAUUAGAAAAAAGAUAUCUGAGUUUGAAAGUGAGAAAGCAUAUAAAUUAACAAUUCGUAAAAGAAAAGUAUUGGGACCAGCCUGGUGGCAUAGUGGUUAAGUUCAUGCACUCUGCUUUGGCAGCCUGUGGUUCGCAUAUUUGGAUCCCGGGUGUGGACUUAUAUGCCACUCAUCAAGCCAUGCCAUGGUGGCAUCCCACAUGCAAAACAGAGAAAGAUUGGCACAGAUAUUAGUUCAGGGCCAAUCUUCCUCACCAAAAAUAAAUAAAUAAUUUUUUUAAAAAGUGUUCUAUGAUUGGCAAAGAGCAUAUAAAAAUAUGCUCAACUUUAUCAAUCUUUAUAAUAAAUUAAUUAAAUAGAUAUAUUAAACAAUUAUAAAUUAUUAUAUAAUGAAAUAAUUAUAUAUGUAUGUGUCUGUGUGUACAUACACGUAACACACAAAAAAUGAAGCACAUAAUGAAAUAAAUCAACAAUUACUUGCUUUUUUCACCUAUCAGAUGAAUAGUUACAUUUGCUAAUACAGGGUGGAGAAUUUUUUCGGGAGAUAGUGGAAAAUAUCUAUCAGAUGGAAAUUAGCACAUUUUGACUAACAAAUUUAUUUGUAGAAAUUUACCUAUAGGGUAUAGUAGGAAGUGUUUAAAGAUGUAUGUAAAUUCAAGCAUACUCAUUGCAACCUUAGUUAUACUUGUAAAAUUGAUGUAACCUGUUAAGUUGUAAGGCUAGGCAAAUUAGUCAUGAUAACAUUUAUCCAGUUGGAUUAUAUUCAGUUAUAUAUGGUAAUGUAUUUCAAAUUAAUUGAUACAAAAAUCCAGGGUUUUCGAAAGUUCAUUUAUCCACCAGUUAUUGAAUACCAACUAUGUUUGAGGCAUUAACAUUGUAUUUCAUUCAUGUAAAAUUAUAUAUGUAUGUGUUUGGAUAUGACCAAUAAAGCAAUUUAAUAGGAAGAAUAUUAAAAAAAGUUAUAGUGAAUUCUGAUCAUUAUUUUACUGUUUCAUUUGUGUGUGGUGUGUGUGUAUAGUUUAAAAUAUAUAUAUAUAUUUCAGUUAUAUAUAGCAUUUAUUAAGUUCUUAGUAUAUGUACCACAUGCUAAGAUAUACACUAUUUCAUGGAUUUUCUCAUUUAAUGUUCAUAAUAACCAUACGGAGUAGGAUAUUUACUCCCUUUCAAAGAUAAGAAAAUAGAGGCUGAGUUUGAUUGUAUAAUUCAUCCUAUUAUUCAUAACUUUAAAAAAACAUGACCCUAUGGAGUCACAGCCUUUGGAAGAUAAUUAAAAAUACUUAUAUUUUGCUAAAUCUAUUAAGAAAACAGUGUUUUGGGAAAGAAUGAAAAUUUCUGAGGUCAUAUUCAUUCUCCCUUUGUCUGUAAGGUCAGAGCCAUGAGAAUUACUAGGUGCAAUUUAUUGAGCUAAAAAGUGUAAGUGUUGAAAUAUUGCAGGAACAGGCGAAAAAGAUGAAUAGGACGUGGGUUUCUGGAAAAUUCCACGGUAUAGACCUGCAAAAUAUGACCUCUUGAAUUAUGGGGUACCAGUGCUUAGGAGACAGGACACUGUUCCUUAGCAGAAACCAUUUCAUAGAUGAAACAUGGGGAUACCAUGAGGGCAGAGAUCAAAGUGCAAAGAGAAAUGGCCAGUCAAGAUGAAUGUCACUAAAUGAAAGAAACCAAUUUUGGAAUAGACCUGAUGACAGGCAAUACCAAAACAUAAAUACUGCAGAUAGCAGGAAAAAGGCCAAUGAGGAUCUCAGAGUGAAAAAGCAAUCCCCAAAAGGUGUAGAUGUAAAUGUUAUAAUCUCCUGUUGGAAUUUUUUUUCCAGUUGUAAUUUAUGACUAUAUGGUCUGGAUUCUAAACUACCUAUCUCAUUUGAGUAUGUGUUCCAUAAUCAGUUCACUUCUCCCCAGUUAUCUAUAUUCAUUCUAACCCUUUUCCAAAGACAACAUUUUGUGUCUUGUGAGUGCAGUUAAUUAGCAAUUCUGAGCUAGUAGCUGAAAUGUUGGCCAAAAUGAUAAACAGAGGGAAUUGUGACAUAAAUUUUGCCUGACUAUGCCACAACAGUGGAUAAAGUAUGUUUAGAAAUUUGGUUUAUAAUGUGAGGAAUGUGCUAUGCUAUUCUAACUUUGCCUUUUUUUCUUCUGGUAUUUUGAGGGGAAAUGGACUAUAUAAGUUACUUCCAGUUGGGGCUCUGGAACAUUGAGAAUGUUGAAGGAGGAAGAUAAGUACAGAAGGAGAAAGCAGUUAUAGAUGGGAUGCCUGUCACAGCAUGGCUUGACAAGCGGUGCAUAAGCCCACACCUGUGAUCUGAACUGGUGAACCCCAGGCCACCAAAGCAAAAUGUGCGAACUUAACCGCUGCAGCACCAGGCCAGCCCCUAUGUGUCAAAGGCUAGAACAAGUUACCAUACUUCAGAGAAGAGAGGUGGAACUGCCAUCAAAGGUCACUGCCAAGAACCAAGAGAACAACUUCCUGUCCUUUGAUGAACACAACUACAAAGGAAUCAUGGCGGAAGUGUGGCCAGGGAUGUGCACCCCACCAACGGAUGGCUCAGGAUGGUCAGCACUGCUUUGUCCAAAGUUCAGCAUAUAUCUAGGUAGGGUUUGGUAGAAAGGCCUGGGAAGCUUCUUGUGCACGUGUGCCCGGGGGCCCGCGGCGUCGUGCUCUGAGGGCGGACUGACUGUUGCCCCUGCUCCGGGGCUCGGCUCUGGAUUCUCCAGGCCGCUGGCGCCCAUGAGGCGAUCGGCUCGCCCGCUGCGGAGCCCCCCAGCCUGCCUGGUUAGUUUGUCCAGGUUGGCAGAACGUGCUCGGAUCGAUGAUGACUCCCUCAUAUGCAUUCCUUGGAAAAUCUGAACAAAAUGAGUGAGAACUCACUACCGUCGUUCUCAUCGAAACUGAGGUCCGGCACGUUGUCUUCCCCAGGCAUGGCAGGAGUGAGGGACCGCUUCCCCUUGAGCGCACUGGGACGGGCACGGGCACCACGCCGGGCGUCCGCAUUUGGGAGCCGUGGCAUCUGGGGGUCCUUCCUCUCACCGCGUGAGGGGGGUGUCCGUCAGUCGGCGGUGCUUGGUUGAACGGCCUGUGGCUGAGGGCCGUGGCUGGCAGCUCGCAUCCUAGGUUGGGAAGUCGGAGAGUGUGGCGCUGGCACAGGCCCCGUGAGCUCAGGGCCUUGUGGCUGUGUGGGCCUGGUUCCCGCUGGGGACGAAGGCCCCGGGGGUCUGCGUCUCAGAGCUGAGCAGUAAGCAGUGGAAGGUCGCGUGGUUUCUGAUGAGAGCCCCGGGCCAGGCGGGCGGCCGUCAGCUGUUCUUGCCUUUUGGCUUGGUGAGGCAGUUGGAGCACCCCUCGCGGUUUGGGGCGCCGCCGGAGGGGUGAGACUUUGGUGCUGCAGCUUGGGGCUCCUCUAGUUCUCCGGCUCGCCCAGUCCACGCCAAGGUGCCCAAACGGGGACCGGGCUGUGGGCCUGGCACUCAGGUCAAGACACUGUGGUGGUUGAUGGCCUGGUCGUGGGGAGCUGGGGGGGAAGAAGAGCACGGAGAGGACAGGUCACAGUGUGAUGCCGUGGGCUUCCGUGGGACGUGCUGCCUCGUUGUGUUCCGAGCGCUGGCAGCGGCUUGUCGGGAAGGUGCCCUGGCUCUGACGGGGCUGGCGAUUGGUGCGUGCCGGGGAAGGCUGGAGGCUUGAAGGCCCGGGGGUGUGCACUGUGGUCGGUGACCUUUGUGGCAGAUGGCGGGCCUUGUUCCAGAGCGGUGGCGCUCUGCGGUUCUCUCCACGGUUCCUUGAAGAGGGGCCCGGCACGUGACUGCCGGGCGGCCGGCCGCCGCUGCUCAUCGAUUGCUUGGGCGACCGUGGCCUUGGAUCCUCCGCCGUCUCAGGCGCGGGGUCUCCGAGGAGAAAGCGUUCCUCCAGCACGGUCCGAUUUUCCUGGCGCGGUUCGCCUCAUGCCUCGUCGCAGGGCUUUAGGUUUCUUCGUGGAAGCCUGUGGGCCUGGCGGAGACGGCGGGUGCCGUGACCCGAGCUGCCCUGCCGCGCACAGACGUCCGCCUUGGAAAACGUCCGCCUCUCCAAGGGUGGCGGGGGCGGGGUGUGUGUGUGCUCGUUCCGUGCCUCCUCUUGCCUUCGUGGACAGAGCCAUCCUUGGGGCCGUGUGAGGUCGUUUGUGGUGUUACAGGUGCCGAGGGAGGGUCCAGACGUUGAACGUGACGGGUCGAGUCCCGUACGCACAGUCGAGAUUCCCUCGUGGCCGUCCUCCCCGGGGCUCCCUGGCCGCCACGUGUGUGUAGGGUUUGAGGUCCUGCUUGGGGGACUUGCCUCGCAGGCCUGAGGUGGGCCAGGCAGCGCGUGGGUGGGAAGGAGUCCUGGAAGGCCGGGGUCCAGAAAGCGGGCCCGCUGUGGUAACGCCAGGUCCCUGGACGGGAGUGGGCUCCAGGUUCAGUCGGGUCUUAGCGUGGGUCGUGGUGGCCACAGACCACCUCUUCCUGGCACUUCCCCUGCCCUGGCACCGCUGAGGGCGUGGGUGUAGCCUCAGUCAGCAGGAAGAGGCGCCUGGCCCCCGGUCCCCGGUGGCGUGGCCACUGGAGAUCAGGAGGGGCUGCUGCUUCUGCCCUCUAGCCCGUGUCCCAGCGGCGCCAGCCUUCGAGUGGUGUAGGCGCUUUACGUGGUUCAGGUCCAGCAGUGGUCGGCGCGUUUCCGUCGGGCGCGGUUCGCGUGGCACGGCGUGCGGGGACAGCGGGCGCCCACGGUCGGGCGGAGGGUGAACCUGCUGGAGUGUCGUGUUCCGGUGUUCAGAGGCAGGGGCUGUGAGAGAGGGAGCCUGUGGCCUAUUUCAGCAGGCCGAAAGGGCAGAGGUGAGCCGCCGGGCGAGUCGAGGUCAAAGCCGCCAGCGCGAGCUCUUGGUCUCGCGGCAGGGCCUGAGGCCAGGGAUGUGUGCGGAAGACGUGCUUCUUCAGGGGCUCGGGCCCCGCGCACCCGAAGACACGCACACGCGCCCGCCUGCGCGCCUUCCUGCGCUUGUGCUGUCACACACGCCUUCUUGUCACACCUGAGGGGAAGAGGUAGAGGCCAAGAAGAUGCAAGGCUUGCCCCGGGGCAGGGAGUCGGGGUGGAACCCUUGGCCUGGCUCUGGUUACCUGAGAGCCUGGCUGGGUCGCUGAGGCGUGCGCGUGCGAUUGCUCUGCACUUCCCAGGUGGGAUCUCCGAGCAAAGCUUGCCGUCGCCCAAGAAGAGAAGACCUUCCUGUCGUUUGUGGAGCGGAGACGCGAGGGAAUCCCGCAAGAAGCGUGGCUUCGGGUGCGCCCCGUGCCCGUGGCUCGCUGAGGCUGGUAAGGAUCCCCCUGCACCCAGUUCGUGCCGUUGGCCCUGGGAGUCCCAGACCGCGCUGAGAGGCUUCUAGCCCGCGGGUCCCCGGGGGCGUGCGGAGCUGGCGCUCUGAGGGUGGGUCGACAGUUGCCCUUGCUCAGGGGCUUGGCUCGGGAUUCUCCGGGCCGCUGGCCGACCCUGAGGUGAUGGGCUCACCCGCCGAGCCCCGCCAGCUGCCCCGAAGGUGCUCGGAUCGAUGAUGACUCCCUCAAAUGCAUUCCUUGGAAAUCUGAACAAAAUGAGUGAGAACUCACUACCGUCGUUCUCGCCGAGACUGAGGUCCAGCACCUGGUCUUCUCCGGGGGUGAGAGGAGUGAGGGACAGCUUCUGGUUGAUGACACUCGCGCAGAGCCCGCCCAGGGCCUCAGCGUGUGGGCGUCUGCUGUGUUUGCACCGGGAGCGUGACCGCAUGAGCUGGACGUUUGCGACUCGGAGGGACUUGCUUGAAUGGCCGGCCUCUGCUGGCGCGGCGCCCGGGUCGCAUGGGCGUCUUUAGAGUCGGAGAGUGUGGCGUUGGCAUGGGCCCGGCCCGUGGUUGGCGCUGAGUACGCGCUGGCCCGGUUCUGGCCUGAGCCGUUGCCCCGGGGGGCGUGGCGGGUGGGGUGGCGGUCCGUGUCUGGAGGCCGAACAGCCGAGUCUUCCCUGGGUUCCGUUCGGAGCCUCGGUUUGGGCCGGGCAAGCCGCAGCGCCUGUGGUUGCCUUCUGGCUUGGUGAGGAGGUGUGAUGGGCCCGUGGUUUUGGCGGCGGGGGCAGCGGCCCUAGGCCGCAGCGCUGCAGCUGGCAGCUCCUGUGUGUCACCUGCUCACCCGGGCCACACACAGCUGGCCAAAGGUGGCCCUGGCGCUGACGUCCAGGCAGUGUGGUGGCUGACAGGGCGGGCAGGAAGGAAAGGGAGCGGAGGGGAGCGGCCGUAGUGCGGUUUCACGGGCUUGCACAGGAUGUACCCUCUUGUUGGGUUGCGACCGCCGUCGCGGUCUUGCCAGGGGUGGCGUUGGGUCCCAAGGGGGCUGCCGGUUGUUGCCUGCCAGGGAAGGCUCGGCUGCGGUAGAUGACCUGUGCGGUAGACGGCGUCGCGCCCCCGGGAGGUUCGGCCCCCAGUGUUUGUCGUCCUAGCGCCUUGAAGAGACCCACAGGCCCGCGACUGGCCACCGGCCCCGUCUGCUCCGGAUUGCUGAGGCGGACAAUCUCUUUGACCCUGCGCCCCCUCGGGUCCGGCGCUUGCCAGGUGAAGGCGUUGCUGCAGGAAGGUUCGCUCUUCCUGGCCCGGGGGGCUCCUGUGGUCCCGGGCGUGCCGGGGAGCGGGGCCAGGUGGCGGUGUGGGGCGUCGGGGGGGGGGUGUGGGGGCGUGCGCGAGGGGUGGUUAAGAGCGGUGUGCGGAAGCCUGCGGGCGUGGCAGCGACCCGAGGGUGCUGCGAUCCUGGGCGCCCUGCCCCGGACGCACGUCCAGCGUGGAGGAGGAGCACGUCUCCUUGUGUGGGAGCGGUGUCCUAGUUUCAUUCUUUGCCUUGUCUUCCAGGAGGAGGCAGCGUUUGUGCUCUGUGAGGUCGUCUGUGGUGUUCUGGGGCCGAAGGAGGGGGUCAUAGGUCGAGUGCGACGCGGUCGACUUAGGCAAAGUCAUAAUGCCUUGACGGCUGUCGUCCGGGAGGCUCCCUGCCCGCCUGGCGCGCGAGGUGUUGGAGGCUACACCUUGGGGGACUUGCUGUGCAGGCGUGAGGGGGCUUCCCCUUUGGAGCAGGGAGCCGCGGGGUUGAACGUUUCCUCGAAGGCCAGCGCCCCGCAACCCGCAGGCGGUGGAAAUGCCGCGUCGCUGCGUGGGAAUUGGCUGUGGUCUGAGACGGGUCUUGCCCCGGGUCUCGGUGGCUGUGACCAGCCGUUGCAGCGGGGUUCCCUGCUGGCCCGCCCAGGGCGUCUUGGCUUAGAUAGCCCAGACCGGAGUGCGGCCUGAAGGCGUCGGGCCCCUGGAGGUUCAGACGGGCUGCUUCUGUUGCGCCGCCCGUGGGCGAGUGGUGCCGGCUCUCGUGUCAGCCCUGUUGUCCUGGCGGUAGCCAGGUAGCAUUACCAUCAAGUGCCGUUCCCCCCGGCCCAGCUCGCGGGGACACGCUGGCCACGUUGACCUCACAUCCACGGUCAGCGUGAGGGUGUAGGUGGAUGGUCCGUGUCCUUUGCUCAGAAGGAGUGGCGCUCAGAGAGGGAGUCCGGGGCCGAUUGCAGCAGCCUCUAGCGGUGCGAGUUGGCGUCCUUCCUUGGGAAGUCACCGGGCUUCCGCGUGGGGUGGCAGGGCACGAGGUCAGGCAUCUGUGAGGACGGCGUGCUUUCCCGGGUGCUGAGGCCACCGCACACGGAAGCCUGCAGGCACGCACGCGCGCACGCGCAAACACACACACACACACACACACACGUGCACAGGCCUGCGCAUCUGCCUACACUCGGGAUAUCACACGCGCCUUCGGUCAUCCCGAAGGGAUAGAGGUACAGGGCAAGCAGAUGCAAGGGUGCCGCGGGGGGAACUGUGGCACGGAUCCUGUCUUCUGACCAGCUGGGCACGUUUCUGAAGCAUGCGUGUGCUUUCUCUACACUCCUCAGGUGGAAGUGCCGUGCAAAGCUCGCUGCCGCCCACCGACAGAAGAAGACCCUUCGUGUCCCGUGACGAGCGCAGGUGCGAGGCAGUCGCGGCGGAAGUGUGGCCCGGGAUGCGCACCACGCCCUCGGACGGCCCAGGACGGUGGAAGUGCCGUGCAAAGCUCGCUGCCGCCCACCGACAGAAGAAGACCCUUCGUGUCCCGUGACGAGCGCAGGUGCGAGGCAGUCGCGGCGGAAGUGUGGCCCGGGAUGCGCACCACGCCCUCGGACGGCCCAGGACGGUGGGAUCUCCGAGCAAAGCUUGCCGUCGCCCAAGAAGAGAAGACCUUCCUGUCGUUUGUGGAGCGGAGACGCGAGGGAAUCCCGCAAGAAGCGUGGCUUCGGGUGCGCCCCGUGCCCGUGGGUCGCUGAGGCUGGUGGAAGAGCCGUGCAAAGCUCGCUGCCGCCCACCGACAGAAGAAGACCCUUCGUGUCCCGUGACGAGCGCAGGUGCGAGGCAGUCGCGGCGGAAGUGUGGCCCGGGAUGCGCACCACGCCCUCGGACGGCCCAGGACGUUCAACAUAGAAUCAGCACUGGUUUUCACAUGAAAGAAUUUUUUUUUUUCUCCUUGAGAAGUAAAAUGACGGAGACUAAGUCUGGCAUCCAAACUUCACUGUCCAGUGGGAAUUUUCACACUGAAUGGAAGUGAUUUUGGAAGAGCAUGGAAUACUCACAACUGUAGUGAAGAAGUGCUGAUUUUGUCACUUUUACCUGUUCCCUUUCCUGAGAUGGAACAAAACAGUGCAAUCCAAAGGUCAACAAGAACAAAUCUCAGGUUUCAUAUGAAAAUGUUUAUUCCUUCUCCUUGAGAUAAGACAUGAAGGAAAGGCCCAUCCUCAAGGACCAGUGGGAAUUCUUAGAUUGGUGGAAGCAGUGGGAUUUGAAGCAAACUUCUGACAACAUCCAGGGUCAACAAGAAACGCAGGUGUGGCACCCAUGAACCCUUUCGAGUUCACUCUUUCUUGUCAUUUCCAGGGGCCAUUGAGGGAAGGGACAUUUUACUGCUUGGAAUUCUCACUGCCACUCUGAAGAAGUGCUGUUUUUGUCACUUGCACCAGCUCCUUUCUCUGAAAAAGAUCAAAACAAUGCACUCCAGAGGCUGACAUGGACCAAAAAGUGGGUUUCAUAUGAAAGAGUUUAUUCCUUCCCUUUGAGAUGUGAAGGAAAGUAUUGGGAAUAAUUCUACCUUCCAUCCUCAAGGGCCUGUGUAAAUUCUCACAAAGGUACAGAUAGAGCCUAGAAGGAAAGGGAAACUAUGCCUUUCCCUUUACUCUUGAAUGUCAGCUCCAGAGAAUGAGCUGAAAACUUCCUUCUUAGUCAGUGAUUCUCCAUUCCUACUGGUGAUCUUUUGGACACUCUUGCAGAAGAUGACUACUUGGGAAUUCUUUGGGGAGUGAAUGAUACCAGUAAAUCCCUGAAACAAGACUUUUCAGACAAAGAGCCUUUUCACUUACCUGUUGUUCAAGGGCCACCCUCUAAAGUCUUCUUGCAGGUGAUGACCUCAAAGGCGAGGUGGAUUUGUUACUGUGGAAGCCAUUACUUCUAUCACCAGCUUCACCAAAAACAAUGAUACAGUCCUCCUUAUGCAUGGAGACUCCUCUCUUUCCUGUGUUGCAGUGGACACCUCCUGCAGAUAAGAAAUGCUUAACUGAGAAAUGCUCAUAUUGGGAUAUCAUCGAUGAGACUUUAAUUUGGGCAUGGUGACUGUUUCCCUUGCUGCCACUUGACUCAAUCCCAGGAGCCUCAGUAGAGGAAAUAUUAUUGCACAAGAAACUCAAAAUGGUGGAAUUGCUCAGUGCUCCCAUAAAUAGACAUUUAUAAUUUUCAUUUGCCAUGUGGUGAAUUUUAAAAAUAGGAUAUAUUAAAAAGAAGCUGCAUGAAUUUUUUCAAAAAUUCAAAGCAUUUCUAAAUAUCUAAUACAGAAAUUAAGUGCCCUCCUCUCUCCCAAUUCUAACCCCCAGAGUUUUUCUUUAUUAAGGGAGUUGUGUGCAUUCUUUAAGUGGAUAAAUGCACACAUGCAAGCUAUUUCUGGAGGGUUCUGGAAGUGGGGCCAUGCUGUACACAUUCUUCUGCAAAUUGCCUUUCAUUUAAUAGUUUUUUAAAUGCCCUUUUUCUAUUUCAGUAAUAUACAUUUGUGUCAUUUGUUGAAUGACUGCAUGACUGUUUUGUAGAUGAAAUAUAAUUAAAUGUUUUGAUUAUUUCUCAGCCAUAGAUAUUUAUGUUAGCACCAAAUUUCUGCACAGUGAACCUCCCUAUUUAUUAAUAGUUUUGCAUUUGUCUAUUAUAUCAUGAUAAAUUACUUAGCAGUUGAAAUACUGGGAUUAAGAAUGUGCACAUUUCAAAUUUUGAAAAUUAUUGCAAGAUUUCCUUAAAAAUGUGGUGACAACUUAUCCUAAAAUGGCAAUGAAUAAGAUUGCCAGCUUUCCCACAACCUCACAGAUAAUGGAUUUUAUAAAUAUUUAAAAUCUUUGCCAGUGUGAUAGCCCAAACUAUUGUCUUAAAUUGUAUUUCUUUUGUUUUUGAGUUUGAUCAUUUUUUCAUAUGUUAUUAGCCAUCUGUAUUUUUUAAUUUCCUCUUUAUGUCUGAUUUUGGGAGUCGGGGGAGGUUUUAGUCUCUUCCUGAUUUUGAAGAGCUCAUUGAUUAUUGGGGGAAUAACCUUUGGAUUGUCAAGCAUUACAGAUAUUUUUUACACACUUUUAAACUUCAUUUUUGAUAUAAGAAUGUAUAUAAUUAUUAUGUGUCUAAGUAUAACCGUGUUCGCUUCUAUGGCUUCUGAAUUUCAUGUCAUUUUGGAAAGGUAUUUAAACUGAUUCCAUAAAACCCUUCAUAUAUGUUAACUUCUAAUUCUUUUGUGUUUUUUUAAUUCAAAUUCUGAAAUCAUAAGAAAUUUUUUUAUUUGAAAUCUUAAAGUUGCCAAGUUAUUUGCCAUUACUUGCGAUUAUUUGCCAAUAAUUGCCCAUUUAUCUGUAAUGCCAUCUUGCACAUAUGCUGUAUUCUCAUCUGUGACUGGCUCCAUUUUUGUUCUGUGGAUCUUUGCGUCUCUUCUUCUGCCUCUUGUCUCAUGUGUCUUCUUGUUGGAAGAAAUUACAGUAUAGACUGCAAUUUCAUCAACUUUAAUAAAUUAAUUUAGGGGAGAAUUGGUUUUUAAUAAUAUAAGUCUUCCUGUUCAAGGACAAGGUAUGUCUUUUUUUUUAUUCAAUAAUUUUAAUUACUGUUAAUAUUUUCACUUUGUGAUGGGGGUGUUUUCUUUCUGUUUAUUUUCUUGAUAAUUUUUCUGUAUCUGAAAGUUUUGUGUUUUUUUUUGGUAAGUGGUCAGCUUACACUUUCUCAUGGCUUCAGAUUUUUUCAAAGUACAUACUAAAUCCUUUGCAAAUACUAGUAGUUUUUAGUCUCUCCUUCAAAAUGAUCUAGAUUUCAGUUAUGUUGAUAAAGUUCACUGACUGGUACUUUCAGAGCACUUAAACAAUUGUGGAAAUGUCCAACCUUGAUUUAAUCAGAUUUUAAUGGAAUGCUUCUUGGUUUUGACUAGCACAUUAUUGUUGGCCUUUUACCCAAAAAGACUUGCAGAAAGAGCUAUGAUCAAGCAAAGCUGAGUUUAUUAAACCUACUGCAGUAAGGAAAAACACCACUUUGACAAGAUUUAGUAGUGUUUCAAAAGCAGAAAGUUAGGACUUAGGGGUUUGGGCUAAUGUGGUUUAAGGCAGGCUUUUCAAGGCACAGAACUGGUUAGGAAUGGGCAGAAUCUGUCAUGUAAUAGUUUAGGUUUGUGAAAGAGUAAGGACCUUGAUAUGAGUCUAGAUAACCAAAUUUGUGUCUGAUAAAUGAGCUGUUUGCCCAUGUGAGUUAGAUGUUAUCAAUGAGCUAUUUGCUUUGAUGAGCAAGCUGAAUCUACUUAUUGGUUUAUAGUUCAUUCUUGUUUAUAGGACACUGCUGGGGGUUGCAUGAGGUCUUAGUGCCAAUAGGUAAGUUAUUUUGAUGUGGGUAGUCUCAAUUGUCAAUUUAAUAUGCUAAUUUUAAACUUAAGAUAUGUUUUGUAUCAUGUUAGGAAAGUCUUCCACCUUUUAUAUAUUUCUGAAUAAUUUUAAAAUGAGGUGGUAGAUGUAAUCAAAUACUUUUUGCGUAAACAAUUAUAUUAUUCUUUAAUUAAACAUAUCAUUGUGAAAUAAUUCAUUUUCUGUUAAUGAAAUUUCCUUUUAUUGCUUGAAUGAACAAACCCUAUUUGGUAAAUAGAUGUUUUACUCUUUAAAUUUACUACUGAAUUAUAAGUAU
Long non-coding RNA from Equus caballus (horse), 20460 nucleotides. The record is from Ensembl. NCBI's taxonomy places the organism in Eukaryota, Metazoa, Chordata, Mammalia, Perissodactyla, Equidae.